RNAcentral lists this ribosomal RNA (253 nucleotides) under uncultured bacterium. RNAcentral's name for it is "partial 16S ribosomal RNA". It matches the Rfam family "Bacterial small subunit ribosomal RNA", at positions 524 to 776 of the family's 1533-position model. The record is from RNAcentral.
UACGUAGGGCGCAAGCGUUGUCCGGAAUUAUUGGGCGUAAAGAGCUCGUAGGCGGCUUGUCACGUCGGGUGUGAAAGCCCGGGGCUUGACCCCGGGUCUGCAUUCGAUACGGGCAGGCUAGAGUGUGGUAGGGGAGAUCGGAAUUCCUGGUGUAGCGGUGAAAUGCGCAGAUAUCAGGAGGAACACCGGUGGCGAAGGCGGAUCUCUGGGCCAUUACUGACGCUGAGGAGCGAAAGCGUGGGGAGCGAACAGG